GGGCGGUUAGCUCAGAGGCUAGAGCGUUUCGUUUACACCGAAGAGGUCGUAGGUUCGAAUCCUGCACCGCCCACCA
RNAcentral lists this transfer RNA (76 nucleotides) under Bacillota bacterium. Its description in RNAcentral is "tRNA-Val". It matches the Rfam family "tRNA". From Rfam's summary of the family: Transfer RNA (tRNA) molecules are approximately 80 nucleotides in length. Their secondary structure includes four short double-helical elements and three loops (D, anti-codon, and T loops). Lineage: Bacteria; Bacillati; Bacillota. The record is from RNAcentral.